AAUCUGAUUCGGAAAGGUUCGCACUGGAGAAGUUAGAAAACGGAAGAGGAAAGUUGUGGUUCAACCAAACGUCACAAAUGUGAACGAUAUGGGGUAUUUUAGCAACCAAGGGCAAGUUUACACUUUGAAAGAGCUUACGAAAGGAGACAACGUCUUGGAAGGCAACAGCUCUGGGAAAGCUUGGGAUUAACAGCAGAUAAUAAACUGCGUGUAUACAAGUUACUGUAAAGAGCAGGAAAUUGGUCAACAACCCGCUACGCCUGUGGUGGCUGGACAAUGGACGAGGACAAAGAAUGUGGCAAAGGAUGCCUGAGGUGAACUGGAGGGUGAGCUUGUGAACUGGGGGACACUUAAGUCCCAGGACAGACUGCGGGUGGGGUGGGGAAUCUCCAUCCUGAAGGACUGUGAUAUCUUGCAGGGAAAAAUGGGCAAGCAAGAGGUCAGCUGAGUAUUCCCGGAUCCUCUGGGCUUGGAGCCGGCUGGCUUUGCCUUCUGAGAACUUCCUGGCUUGGAUGUCUUUUCUUGUCCCUGUGGAAAUAAGGGGUGUUUGUGGGUGUCAUUGCCUGAAAACCAGUUUAGCCAACUGAAGUGUUACAGUAAAAUUUGUCAAAGAUGUUGGGAAUACCAUAAGAUUAAUACUCUCAUUGGAAAACUGAGUUUUCUGCAGUAUCUUUAUUUUUUAAGAAACUUUUUUUGGAUGCUCAAAAUAUCCAGGUAUUCUUUCCCCCCCCACUACAUUCUUUGAAUGUUGAAAUACUCUUUGCUUUCUCUUCCUUUCCCGAAGAUAAUAAACCUUUUGAGCUAUGUUUAUAGGAGAAAACUA
Long non-coding RNA from Pezoporus occidentalis (night parrot), 823 nucleotides. RefSeq lists it as uncharacterized. The transcript has 2 exons. NCBI's taxonomy places the organism in Eukaryota, Metazoa, Chordata, Aves, Psittaciformes, Psittacidae. The record is from RefSeq and is a predicted model, not a curated record.